ACUCAAAUGAAUAGACGGGGGCCCGCACAAGCGGUGGAGCAUGUGGUUUAAUUCGAUGCAACGCGAAGAACCUUACCAAGGCUUGACAUCCUCCUGACCGGUACAGAGAUGUAGCUUCCCUUCGGGGCAGGAGAGACAGGUGGUGCAUGGUUGUCGUCAGCUCGUGUCGUGAGAUGUUGGGUUAAGUCCCGCAACGAGCGCAACCCUUAUUAUCAGUAGCCAUCGGGUAGAGCCGGGCACUCUGGUGAGACUGCCGUGGAUAACACGGAGGAAGGUGGGGACGACGUCAAAUCAUCAUGCCCUUUAUGUCUUGGGCAACACACGUGCUACAAUGGCUGUUACAAAGUGAAGCGAAGCAGUGAUGCGGAGCAAAGCACAAAAAAGCAGCCCCAGUUCGGAUUGUAGUCUGCAACUCGACUAUAUGAAGCUGGAAUCGCUAGUAAUCGCGAAUCAGCAUGUCGCGGUGAAUACGUUCCCGGGCCUUGUACACACCGCCCGU
Molecule: ribosomal RNA, 499 nt
Filed under: uncultured bacterium
Lineage: Bacteria
Description: bacterial SSU rRNA
Rfam family: Bacterial small subunit ribosomal RNA
Source: RNAcentral